GCCUAGAGGCCUCACGGAGGACCCUAAAUACAGAAGCUGUGUGCUGGGGUGGUCGGAGGGAUGUGAGCUUGAGAAAAUCAGAACUCUUGCAAGCAAAAAGCAAGCUGGGCUUCAAGCGCCUGCCUUGGGACUCCCCAGCAUUUCUUUGAAAUGGUAACAUGAGGGGAAAGCGGAAUAAAAAGGGAAGGGCGUGUGAUAAUGCAGAAGGGGAUGAGCAUGUCAGGAGAUUUCUGAUGAGCCUGGUACAGUGCAUUGCCCAGACUGUCAAAACGUGUACCAGUAAAUGGGCAACAGAGCUAAGAUAUGGAACUGGAUAAUCAAGUCGUGGAUGGGGCUACGGGGAUUGCCCAUUCCUGGCUGAGAAGUUGGCAGUUUCUGUUUUGUAUUAGCAAAGAAGUUGGUUAAAGUGUCACCCAUGGCAUUUUUGGACCAAGACCUCAUGUCUACUGAAGCCGAAGCUUUGGGGGAACUGAGGAAUCCCUUCAGCAGCAGACGGCUCCAUGUGAUUCAGUGAAGGCGCACAAGCUGCUCUCCAACCGCCGUGGCUUCUUUCCUGUUCUGGUUAUUUUGCCAGUUUCACCACACCACACUCGGAGCAGUUUCCCAGAGAGCGUGGGUGUUAAUGAUCAGGAGGAACAGAGUUCUGUGAUCAAGUGAAUUUUGGAAAUGCUACGUCAAGCAGAGUUAAAUAAGACGUGCAUGACAUUUGGUGCCAAAACCCGGGACAGGAGGACUCCUUCGGGAGAGCAGUCCCCUGUCCUCAUCCUCACUCCAUGAGGAGAUCCACCUAUGACCUUGGGCCCUCUGACCAACCAGCGCAAG
Molecule: long non-coding RNA, 822 nt
Filed under: Homo sapiens (human)
Lineage: Eukaryota; Metazoa; Chordata; Mammalia; Primates; Hominidae
Description: HSALNT0280520
Source: RNAcentral